RNAcentral lists this ribosomal RNA (1088 nucleotides) under Staphylococcus aureus. Its description in RNAcentral is "partial 23S ribosomal RNA". It matches the Rfam family "Bacterial large subunit ribosomal RNA", at positions 356 to 1452 of the family's 2925-position model. The record is from RNAcentral. Lineage: Bacteria; Bacillati; Bacillota; Bacilli; Caryophanales; Staphylococcaceae.
CAAAGAAGGUAAUAAUCCUGUAGUCGAAAAUGUUGUCUCUCUUGAGUGGAUCCUGAGUACGACGGAGCACGUGAAAUUCCGUCGGAAUCUGGGAGGACCAUCUCCUAAGGCUAAAUACUCUCUAGUGACCGAUAGUGAACCAGUACCGUGAGGGAAAGGUGAAAAGCACCCCGGAAGGGGAGUGAAAUAGAACCUGAAACCGUGUGCUUACAAGUAGUCAGAGCCCGUUAAUGGGUGAUGGCGUGCCUUUUGUAGAAUGAACCGGCGAGUUACGAUUUGAUGCAAGGUUAAGCAGUAAAUGUGGAGCCGUAGCGAAAGCGAGUCUGAAUAGGGCGUUUAGUAUUUGGUCGUAGACCCGAAACCAGGUGAUCUACCCUUGGUCAGGUUGAAGUUCAGGUAACACUGAAUGGAGGACCGAACCGACUUACGUUGAAAAGUGAGCGGAUGAACUGAGGGUAGCGGAGAAAUUCCAAUCGAACCUGGAGAUAGCUGGUUCUCUCCGAAAUAGCUUUAGGGCUAGCCUCAAGUGAUGAUUAUUGGAGGUAGAGCACUGUUUGGACGAGGGGCCCCUCUCGGGUUACCGAAUUCAGACAAACUCCGAAUGCCAAUUAAUUUAACUUGGGAGUCAGAACAUGGGUGAUAAGGUCCGUGUUCGAAAGGGAAACAGCCCAGACCACCAGCUAAGGUCCCAAAAUAUAUGUUAAGUGGAAAAGGAUGUGGCGUUGCCCAGACAACUAGGAUGUUGGCUUAGAAGCAGCCAUCAUUUAAAGAGUGCGUAAUAGCUCACUAGUCGAGUGACACUGCGCCGAAAAUGUACCGGGGCUAAACAUAUUACCGAAGCUGUGGAUUGUCCUUUGGACAAUGGUAGGAGAGCGUUCUAAGGGCGUUGAAGCAUGAUCGUAAGGACAUGUGGAGCGCUUAGAAGUGAGAAUGCCGGUGUGAGUAGCGAAAGACGGGUGAGAAUCCCGUCCACCGAUUGACUAAGGUUUCCAGAGGAAGGCUCGUCCGCUCUGGGUUAGUCGGGUCCUAAGCUGAGGCCGACAGGCGUAGGCGAUGGAUAACAGGUUGAUAUUCCUGUACCACCUAUA